Molecule: ribosomal RNA, 206 nt
Filed under: uncultured bacterium
Lineage: Bacteria
Description: partial 16S ribosomal RNA
Rfam family: Bacterial small subunit ribosomal RNA
Source: RNAcentral
CGCGUAGGCGGGCGCUUAAGUCGGGGUGAAAUCCCGGGGCUCAACCCCGGAACUGCCUCCGAUACUGGGUGCCUUGAGGACGGGAGAGGUGAGCGGAAUUCCGAGUGUAGAGGUGAAAUUCGUAGAUAUUCGGAGGAACACCGGUGGCGAAGGCGGCUCACUGGCCCGAUCCUGACGCUGAGGCGCGAAAGCGUGGGGAGCAAACA